Molecule: transfer RNA, 72 nt
Filed under: Monodelphis domestica (gray short-tailed opossum)
Lineage: Eukaryota; Metazoa; Chordata; Mammalia; Didelphimorphia; Didelphidae
Rfam family: tRNA
About the family: Transfer RNA (tRNA) molecules are approximately 80 nucleotides in length. Their secondary structure includes four short double-helical elements and three loops (D, anti-codon, and T loops).
Source: Rfam by way of RNAcentral
AUUAUAGUGGGCUAUGGUGGAAACUGUUUAAUUGGGAAUCAAAUAAUCUAGGUUCAAAUUCUGGCACUAAUA